GUGGGGAAUCUUCCGCAAUGGACGAAAGUCUGACGGAGCAACGCCGCGUGAGUGAUGAAGGUCUUCGGAUUGUAAAGCUCUGUUAAUCGGGACGAAAGAGCCUAGUGUGAAUAAUGCUAGGAAGUGACGGUACCGGAAUAGAAAGCCACGGCUAACUACGUGCCAGCAGCCGCGGUAAUACGUAGGUGGCAAGCGUUGUCCGGAAUUAUUGGGCGUAAAGUGCGCGCAGGCGGAUCUGCCAGUCUGUCUUAAAAGUUCGGGGCUUAACCCCGUGAUGGGAUGGAAACUACAGAUCUAGAGUAUCGGAGAGGAAAGUGGAAUUCCUAGUGUAGCGGUGAAAUGCGUAGAUAUUAGGAGGAACACCAGUGGCGAAGGCGACUUUCUGGACUGUAACUGACGCUGAGGCUCGAAAGCCAGGGGAGCGAACGGGAUUAGAAACCCGGGUAGUCC
Molecule: ribosomal RNA, 450 nt
Filed under: uncultured bacterium
Lineage: Bacteria
Description: partial 16S ribosomal RNA
Rfam family: Bacterial small subunit ribosomal RNA
Source: RNAcentral